Molecule: unclassified non-coding RNA, 354 nt
Filed under: soil metagenome
Description: partial contains 5.8S ribosomal RNA, internal transcribed spacer 2, and large subunit ribosomal RNA
Rfam family: 5.8S ribosomal RNA (bases 1-120)
Source: RNAcentral
GAUGAAGAACGUAGCGAAAUGCGAUAAGUAAUGCGAAUUGCAGAAUCCGUGAGUCAUCGAAUCUUUGAACGCACAUUGCGCCCCUUGGUUAUUCCGAAGGGCAUGCCUGUUCGAGCGUCAUUAUCACCCCUCAAGCCCUGGCUUGGUGUUGGACUUUAGUUAUGGCUUUGCCUAUCAACUGGUCUCAAAGAUAGUGACGGCGCCCCAGAGGAACCGGGUACGAGGAGCUUUUUACUAAGCAUGUAUCUGGGACGACUCUGAUGGGCGACGGUCUUGUUAUACUUUUUACCUAAGUGUUGACCUCGGAUCAGGUAGGAAUACCCGCUGAACUUAAGCAUAUCAAUAAGCGGAGGA